This is a non-coding RNA of Camelina sativa (false flax), 844 nucleotides long. Lineage: Eukaryota; Viridiplantae; Streptophyta; Magnoliopsida; Brassicales; Brassicaceae. The record is from RefSeq and is a predicted model, not a curated record.
CUCCUUCACUCCGUCCGUCCUUCAAAGUUAAAACCCUAUAAACCUCUCUGUGGGCGAAGAUCGAUCUCACUUUUUUCUUCUUCUUCUUCUUCCGAGCAUCAUCGUCUCUAUCUCUUGCAAUGGCUUCCAGAAUCAUGAACAGAUCAUCCGUGUCGUCUCUCAGAUCCGCAAUCAGAUCCUUGCUUCGAAAUUCUCCUGUUGGCACCGGAUCUUCACCGGCUGCUUCAUCCGCCGGAUUUAGUAUUCCGUCUAAACCCGCUGCUUCUACUCCUCUUCCCCGAUUCUCUUUCUCCAGGUGUCCAUCUGAGCUUGGUUGUGUUCAGUCGCUGUUACCGCUUCACAGCACAGUGGCGGCUGCUCGGUUGACGUCUUGCCUUAGCACUACUUCCAGAAGCAGCCGAGCUCUCUCUCAGGGUACUCUCUGCUGCACCUCUCCCGACCUCUAAUUCUCUUUUCUGCUCUUUCUUUCUUGCACAUAAUUUCACCGUUACCAUGUGGGAUCCUUGCAUCUUUAUCAAUCUAGGGAAGUUAGUUCAUGAUCUGCGUAUAAGAGUGGCAAAUAUACUCUAGUAAUUUGUAAAAGUGCUCUUUGUCCCAGAUGGAAUCGAUGGCACGUGAGACGUAUUUGCAGUUGUUUUUAAAGAGAUGGGCCUUUCAGUACCAAGGUGACCUGAUACAUUCAUGAAGAUUAUUACUAUUGAGUGAGGAAAGUUCUUCUCUAAACUUAGAGACAAGUUCUUUGUUUGUGACUCCAGACUCAUGUCAUUUUCUUUUCGAUUCAUGAAAAAAAAAAUGUAAUACAAUUUCACCCUUUUCCACAACUCAUCUCCCAGAUUCAAAGCUA